GAUCCUGGCUCAGGAUGAACGCUAGCUACAGGCUUAACACAUGCAAGUCGAGGGGAAACGACAUCGAAAGCUUGCUUUUGAUGGGCGUCGACCGGCGCACGGGUGAGUAACGCGUAUCCAACCUGCCCAUCACUUGGGAAUAACCUUGCGAAAGUAAGACUAAUGCCCAAUGAUAUCCCACGAAGGCAUCCGAAUGGGAUUAAAGAUUUAUCGGUGAAUUGGGAUUGGGGAUGCGUCUGAUUAG
RNAcentral lists this ribosomal RNA (244 nucleotides) under uncultured bacterium. Its description in RNAcentral is "partial 16S ribosomal RNA". It matches the Rfam family "Bacterial small subunit ribosomal RNA", at positions 15 to 244 of the family's 1533-position model. The record is from RNAcentral.